GAGUUUGAUCCUGGCUCAGGAUGAACGCUGGCGGCGUGCCUAAUACAUGCAAGUCGAGCGAACGGACGAGAAGCUUGCUUCUCUGAUGUUAGCGGCGGACGGGUGAGUAACACGUGGAUAACCUACCUAUAAGACUGGGAUAACUUCGGGAAACCGGAGCUAAUACCGGAUAAUAUUUUGAACCGCAUGGUUCAAAAGUGAAAGACGGUUUUGCUGUCACUUAUAGACGGAUCCGCGCUGCAUUAGCUAGUUGGUAAGGUAACGGCUUACCAAGGCAACGAUGCAUAGCCGACCUGAGAGGGUGAUCGGCCACACUGGAACUGAGACACGGUCCAGACUCCUACGGGAGGCAGCAGUAGGGAAUCUUCCGCAAUGGGCGAAAGCCUGACGGAGCAACGCCGCGUGAGUGAUGAAGGUCUUCGGAUCGUAAAACUCUGUUAUUAGGGAAGAACAUAUGUGUAAGUAACUGUGCACAUCUUGACGGUACCUAAUCAGAAAGCCACGGCUAACUACGUGCCAG
This 520-nucleotide ribosomal RNA is filed under the name uncultured microorganism. RNAcentral describes it as "bacterial SSU rRNA". It matches the Rfam family "Bacterial small subunit ribosomal RNA", at positions 9 to 511 of the family's 1533-position model. The record is from RNAcentral.